GUUUGAUCCUGGCUCAGAGCGAACGUUAGCGGCGGGGCUUAACACAUGCAAGUCGAGCGAGAAAGGGGCUUCGGCCCUGAGUACAGCGGCGGACGGGUGAAUAACACGUAGGUAACCUUCCUUUCAGCGGGGGACAACGGUCCGAAAGGACCGCUAAUACCGCAUACGUUCCCCGGGACCUCGGUCCUGGGGAGGAAAGGCCCCGCAAGGGCCACUGGAUGAGGGGCCUGCGUAGCAUCAGCUAGUUGGUGGGGUAAUGGCCUACCAAGGCGAAGACGCUUAGCUGGUCUGAGAGGAUGAUCAGCCACACUGGGACUGAGACACGGCCCAGACUCCUACGGGAGGCAGCAGUGGGGAAUAUUGGACAAUGGGCGCAAGCCUGAUCCAGCCACGCCGCGUGAGUGAUGAAGGCCUUCGGGUCGUAAGACUCUGUGGGGAGGGACGGAACGGAC
This 452-nucleotide ribosomal RNA is filed under the name uncultured bacterium. Its description in RNAcentral is "bacterial SSU rRNA". It matches the Rfam family "Bacterial small subunit ribosomal RNA", at positions 11 to 455 of the family's 1533-position model. The record is from RNAcentral.